GGGGUGGUCGAUUGAAGUCGGUAGAUUGUAAAUCUAUGUAUAAGUUAUUACUUUCUCA
Molecule: transfer RNA, 58 nt
Filed under: Sepia officinalis (common cuttlefish)
Lineage: Eukaryota; Metazoa; Mollusca; Cephalopoda; Sepiida; Sepiidae
Description: tRNA-Tyr
Source: RNAcentral